This 204-nucleotide ribosomal RNA is filed under the name uncultured bacterium. RNAcentral's name for it is "partial 16S ribosomal RNA". It matches the Rfam family "Bacterial small subunit ribosomal RNA", at positions 28 to 239 of the family's 1533-position model. The record is from RNAcentral.
GAUGAACGCUAGCGGCAGGCUUAACACAUGCAAGUCGAGGGGUAUGGUUCUUCGGAACCAGAGACCGGCGCACGGGUGCGUAACGCGUAUGCAAUCUACCUUUCACAAAGGGAUAGCCGAGAGAAAUUUGGAUUGAUACCUUAUAGUAUAUAAGAAUGGCAUCAUUUUAUAUAAAGAUUAUCGGUGAAGAUGAGCAUGCGUCCC